Molecule: transfer RNA, 74 nt
Organism: Rheinheimera sp. SA_1
Lineage: Bacteria; Pseudomonadati; Pseudomonadota; Gammaproteobacteria; Chromatiales; Chromatiaceae
Rfam family: tRNA
About the family: Transfer RNA (tRNA) molecules are approximately 80 nucleotides in length. Their secondary structure includes four short double-helical elements and three loops (D, anti-codon, and T loops).
Source: Rfam
GCGUCCUUAGCUCAGUUGGUUAGAGCACCACCUUGACAUGGUGGGGGUCGGUGGUUCGAGUCCACUAGGACGCA